CCUACGGGAGGCUGCAGUGAGGAAUAUUGGUCAAUGGGCGCGAGCCUGAACCAGCCAAGUCGCGUGAGGGAAGACGGUCCUAUGGAUUGUAAACCUCUUUUGUCGGGGAGCAAAAGACGCCACGCGUGGCGUUCCGAGCGUACCCGAAGAAAAAGCAUCGGCUAACUCCGUGCCAGCAGCCGCGGGAAUAUGUAGGGUGCGAGCGUUAAUCGGAAUUACUGGGCGUAAAGGGUGUGCAGGCGGGUUUGCAAGAUCGAUGUGAAAGCCCCGGGCUUAACCUGGGAAAGGCAUACAUGACUGCAAGACUAGAGUGCGGCAGAGGGGGGUGGAAUGCCAAGUGUAGCAGUGAAAUGCGUAGAUAUUUGGAAGAACACCGAUGGCGAAGGCAGCCCGCUGGGAAGCAACUGACGCUCAUACACGAAAGCGUGGGGAGCAAACAGGAUUAGAUACCCGGGUAGUC
Molecule: ribosomal RNA, 460 nt
Filed under: uncultured bacterium
Lineage: Bacteria
Description: partial 16S ribosomal RNA
Rfam family: Bacterial small subunit ribosomal RNA
Source: RNAcentral